This 517-nucleotide ribosomal RNA is filed under the name Dianemobius fascipes. RNAcentral's name for it is "partial 16S ribosomal RNA". It matches the Rfam family "Bacterial large subunit ribosomal RNA", at positions 1808 to 2596 of the family's 2925-position model. The record is from RNAcentral. Lineage: Eukaryota; Metazoa; Arthropoda; Insecta; Orthoptera; Trigonidiidae.
CAAAAACAUGUCUUUUGGUUUUAAUUAAAAGUCUGGCCUGCCCACUGAAGUUAAUUAAAGGGCUGCAGUAUUUUGACUGUACAAAGGUAGCAUAAUCAUUAGUUUCUUAAUUAGGAACUGGAAUGAAUGGUUUUUCGAGAUAUCAGCUGUCUACUAGAUAAAUAAAUUGAAUUUUAUAUUUAAGUUAAAAAGCUUAAAUGAGUUUUGGGGACGAGAAGACCCUAUAGAUCUUUAUAUUGAAUUCAAUAAUAUUAUCGUGUGGUUUAAUUGGGAUUUAUUGUUUUUGAUAUUUUAUUGGGGUGAUACGGGAAUAUAUAAACUUCUCGAGUAUUAUAAACUUGGAUUGGAGAAUUUUGGAUCCUUAAUUUAGGAAGGAAGAUUAAGAUACCUUAGGGAUAACAGCGUUAUUUUGUUAGAAAGUUCAUAUUAAUAACGAAGAUUGCGACCUCGAUGUUGGAUUAAGAUUAUUAGCUGGUGCAGAAGUUGGCUAAAUAGGUCUGUUCGACCAUUAAAUUCU